AGAAAAGUAGGUGCCGCCCCGCACAGGGGCGACGCGUGCAGACCGACAAGAAAACAAGAAAAGCGCAAAACAAACAAUCAACCUAAUGCAGCCACUA
RNAcentral lists this small RNA (97 nucleotides) under Paraburkholderia tropica. RNAcentral's name for it is "sRNA Bp1_Cand684_SIPHT". It matches the Rfam family "Burkholderia sRNA Bp1_Cand684_SIPHT". The record is from RNAcentral. Lineage: Bacteria; Pseudomonadati; Pseudomonadota; Betaproteobacteria; Burkholderiales; Burkholderiaceae.